Tinamus guttatus (white-throated tinamou) is the source of this 280-nucleotide non-coding RNA. NCBI's taxonomy places the organism in Eukaryota, Metazoa, Chordata, Aves, Tinamiformes, Tinamidae. The record is from RefSeq and is a predicted model, not a curated record.
CUCCGUUCCCCUCCCUGCAGAAUCUAGACGACAGUGUGUUUUCCAAACGGCACGCAAAGCUGGAGCUGGACGAGAAGAGGAGGAAAAGGUGGGACAUCCAGCGGAUCAGGGAACAACGGAUGCUGCAGCGGCUGCAGCUCCGCAUGUACAGGCGCAAAGGGAUCCAGGAGUCGGAGCCCGAAGUUACCUCAUUUUUCCCUGAGCCAGAUGACGUGGAGAGCUUGCUCAUCACCCCCUACCUGCCCGUCGUCGCCUUCGGCCGCCCGCUGCCAAAGCUAAC